RNAcentral lists this ribosomal RNA (633 nucleotides) under uncultured Bacilli bacterium. Its description in RNAcentral is "bacterial SSU rRNA". It matches the Rfam family "Bacterial small subunit ribosomal RNA", at positions 84 to 703 of the family's 1533-position model. Lineage: Bacteria; Bacillati; Bacillota; Bacilli. The record is from RNAcentral.
GAAAAAGAGGAGUGGCGAACGGGUGAGUAACACGUGGGUAACCUGCCCAUCAGAAGGGGAUAACACUUGGAAACAGGUGCUAAUACCGUAUAACAAUCGAAACCGCAUGGUUUUGAUUUGAAAGGCGCUUUCGGGUGUCGCUGAUGGAUGGACCCGCGGUGCAUUAGCUAGUUGGUGAGGUAACGGCUCACCAAGGCCACGAUGCAUAGCCGACCUGAGAGGGUGAUCGGCCACAUUGGGACUGAGACACGGCCCAAACUCCUACGGGAGGCAGCAGUAGGGAAUCUUCGGCAAUGGACGAAAGUCUGACCGAGCAACGCCGCGUGAGUGAAGAAGGUUUUCGGAUCGUAAAACUCUGUUGUUAGAGAAGAACAAGGAUGAGAGUAACUGUUCAUCCCUUGACGGUAUCUAACCAGAAAGCCACGGCUAACUACGUGCCAGCAGCCGCGGUAAUACGUAGGUGGCAAGCGUUGUCCGGAUUUAUUGGGCGUAAAGCGAGCGCAGGCGGUUUCUUAAGUCUGAUGUGAAAGCCCCCGGCUCAACCGGGGAGGGUCAUUGGAAACUGGGAGACUUGAGUGCAGAAGAGGAGAGUGGAAUUCCAUGUGUAGCGGUGAAAUGCGUAGAUAUAUGGAG